This 253-nucleotide ribosomal RNA is filed under the name uncultured bacterium. RNAcentral's name for it is "partial 16S ribosomal RNA". It matches the Rfam family "Bacterial small subunit ribosomal RNA", at positions 524 to 776 of the family's 1533-position model. The record is from RNAcentral.
UACGUAGGGUGCACGCGUUGUCCGGAAUUAUUGGGCGUAAAGAGCUCGUAGGCGGUUUGUCGCGUCUGCUGUGAAAACUCAGGGCUUAACCCUGAGCUUGCAGUGGGUACGGGCAGACUAGAGUGCGGUAGGGGAGACUGGAAUUCCUGGUGUAGCGGUGAAAUGCGCAGAUAUCAGGAGGAACACCGGUGGCGAAGGCGGGUCUCUGGGCCGUAACUGACGCUGAGGAGCGAAAGCAUGGGGAGCGAACAGG